RNAcentral lists this ribosomal RNA (445 nucleotides) under uncultured bacterium. RNAcentral's name for it is "bacterial SSU rRNA". It matches the Rfam family "Bacterial small subunit ribosomal RNA", at positions 29 to 507 of the family's 1533-position model. The record is from RNAcentral.
AGCGAACGCUGGCGGCAGGCUUAACACAUGCAAGUCGAAGGUGAAGCCGGGCUUCGGCCCGGUGGAAACUGGCGCACGGGUGAGUAACGCGUGGGGAUAUGCCCAAGGGUACGGAAUAACCGCUGGAAGCGGCGGCUAAUACCGUAUGUUCCCUCAGGGGGAAAGCUUCGGCGCCCUUGGAUUAUCCCGCGUCCGAUUAGCUUGUUGGUGAGGUAACGGCUCACCAAGGCUCCGAUCGGUAGCUGGUCUGAGAGGACGAUCAGCCACACUGGGACUGAGACACGGCCCAGACUCCUACGGGAGGCAGCAGUGGGGAAUAUUGGACAAUGGGGGCAACCCUGAUCCAGCCAUGCCGCGUGAGUGAAGAAGGCCCUAGGGUUGUAAAGCUCUUUCAGCGGGGAAGAUGAUGACGGUACCCGCAGAAGAAGCCCCGGCUAACUCCGUG